Molecule: long non-coding RNA, 469 nt
Organism: Oncorhynchus tshawytscha (Chinook salmon)
Lineage: Eukaryota; Metazoa; Chordata; Actinopteri; Salmoniformes; Salmonidae
Source: Ensembl
CUGAAAUAUAAACUAUGAUUGGUAAAGGGCUGAAAUAUAAACUCUAUGAUUGGUAAAGGGCUGAAAUAUAAACUCUAUGAUUGGUAAAGGGCUGAAAUAUAAACUAUGAUUGGUAAAGGGCUGAAAUAUAAACUCUAUGAUUGGUAAAGGGCUGAAAUAUAAACUCUAUGAUUGGUAAAGGUCUGAAAUAUAAACUCUAUGAUUGGUAAAGGUCUGAAAUAUAAACUCUAUGAUUGGUAAAGGUCUGAAAUAUAAACUCUAUGAUUGGUAAAGGGCUGAAAUAUAAACUAUGAUUGGUAAAGGGCUUGAAAUAUAAACUAUGAUUGGUAAAGGGCUUGAAAUAUAAACUCUAUGAUUGGUAAAGGGCUGAAAUAUAAACUAUGAUUGGUAAAGGUCUGAAAUAUAAACUCUAUGAUUGGUAAAGGGCUGAAAUAUAAACUCUAUGAUUGGUAAAGGGCUGAAAUAUAAA